This 199-nucleotide ribosomal RNA is filed under the name uncultured bacterium. RNAcentral describes it as "partial 16S ribosomal RNA". It matches the Rfam family "Bacterial small subunit ribosomal RNA", at positions 1294 to 1500 of the family's 1533-position model. The record is from RNAcentral.
CGGAUUGGAGUCUGCAACCCGACUCCAUGAAGCUGGAUUCGCUAGUAAUCGCGCAUCAGCCACGGCGCGGUGAAUACGUUCCCGGGCCUUGUACACACCGCCCGUCAAGCCAUGGAAGCCGGGAGUGCCUGAAGUACGCGACCGCAAGGAGCGUCCUAAGGUAAAACCGGUGACUGGGGCUAAGUCGUAACAAGGUACC